This 468-nucleotide ribosomal RNA is filed under the name uncultured bacterium. RNAcentral's name for it is "partial 16S ribosomal RNA". It matches the Rfam family "Bacterial small subunit ribosomal RNA", at positions 28 to 507 of the family's 1533-position model. The record is from RNAcentral.
GACGAACGCUGGCGGCGUGCUUAACACAUGCAAGUCGAACGGAAAGGCCCUGCUUUUGUGGGGUGCUCGAGUGGCGAACGGGUGAGUAACACGUGAGUAACCUGCCCUUGGCUUUGGGAUAACUUCAGGAAACUGGGGCUAAUACCGGAUAGGAGCUCCUGCUGCAUGGUGGGGGUUGGAAAGUUUCGGCGGUUGGGGAUGGACUCGCGGCUUAUCAGCUUGUUGGUGGGGUAGUGGCUUACCAAGGCUUUGACGGGUAGCCGGCCUGAGAGGGCGACCGGCCACAUUGGGACUGAGAUACGGCCCAGACUCCUACGGGAGGCAGCAGUGGGGAAUAUUGCACAGUGGGCGGAAGCCUGAUGCAGCAACGCCGCGUGCGGGAUGACGGCCUUCGGGUUGUAAACCGCUUUCGCCUGUGACGAAGCGUGAGUGACGGUAAUGGGUAAAGAAGCACCGGCUAACUACGUG